Molecule: ribosomal RNA, 114 nt
Filed under: Clytia hemisphaerica
Lineage: Eukaryota; Metazoa; Cnidaria; Hydrozoa; Leptothecata; Clytiidae
Source: RNAcentral
UAAAAGUACCAUAGUAUGGUGAAAACACCCAGCUUCGUCAGGUCAUGGAUGUUAAGCGUCGUCUGGCCAGGAUAGUGCUUGGAUGGGGGGCCGCCUGGUAACUUCUGGUUUCAC